GGGUCUCUGGCUGUGGCAGGUCUGCCUCUUCUCCCUCACUCGUGGAUUGUAAGACGUGGGAGUGCAGAGUGCAAGACAUCAGCGUCAUUGAGGUCUCUCUUACAGAAGCAUUACAGAUGUGCAGAAUUUCACACGCAUUGUGCAACUGAAGUCCAAGUUUAUGCCAGAACUUGACAUCUGCUCCAGGCUGUCUGCUGAGUGCCAUAGGAAGGGAG
This is a long non-coding RNA of Sardina pilchardus (European sardine), 215 nucleotides long. RefSeq lists it as uncharacterized. The record is from RefSeq and is a predicted model, not a curated record. The transcript has 3 exons. NCBI's taxonomy places the organism in Eukaryota, Metazoa, Chordata, Actinopteri, Clupeiformes, Clupeidae.